ACGUAGGGUGCAAGCGUCAAUCGGAAUUACUGGGCGUAAAGUGUGCGCAGGUGGCUGAGCAAGUCGAGUGUGAAAGCCCCGGGCUUAACUUGGGAAUUGCGCUCGAAACUACUUUGCUGGAGUGUGGCAGAGGAAGGUGGAAUUCCACGUGUAGCGGUGAAAUGCGUAGAGAUGUGGAGGAACACCAAUGGCGAAGGCAGCCUUCUGGGCCAACACUGACGCUGAGGCGCGACAGCGUGGGGAGCAAACAGGA
This 253-nucleotide ribosomal RNA is filed under the name uncultured prokaryote. RNAcentral's name for it is "partial 16S ribosomal RNA". It matches the Rfam family "Bacterial small subunit ribosomal RNA", at positions 525 to 777 of the family's 1533-position model. The record is from RNAcentral.